Molecule: ribosomal RNA, 393 nt
Filed under: uncultured archaeon
Lineage: Archaea
Description: bacterial SSU rRNA
Rfam family: Archaeal small subunit ribosomal RNA
Source: RNAcentral
AUGUGCGAAAGCGUGAGAGGGGAACUCCUAGUGCUCAUGGUUUAUCCAUGGGCUUUUGCCAUGUGUAAAUAGCAUGGCGAAUAAGUGGUGGGCAAGACUGGUGCCAGCCGCCGCGGUAACACCAGCGCCACGAGUGGCCACCGCGAUUAUUGGGCCUAAAGCGUCCGUAGUCGGGCUUGUACAUCUUCUGUGAAAUCGCUGCGCUUAACGUAGCGGCAUGCGGAAGACACGGCAAGCCUUGAGACUGGAAGGCGUCAGGGGUACUCCGGGGGGACCGGUAAAAUGGUAUAAUCCCCGGAAGACCACCUGUGGCGAAGGCGCCUGACGAGUACAGAUCUGACGAUGAGGGACGAAAGCCAGGGGAGCAAACCGGAUUAGAUACCCGCGUAGUCC